CACAGCUCCGGCAGACACGGACAGGUUCAUCCUGACCGGGGAGCGGUGACGAUCCGCCGGCCUCCACGCGGACGUGCCGCGGUGACACGCUGAGCUACGAACGACGGCUACACGUAGAAGCUCCCAGCAUAGAGGCGUAAAGUGCAGGAGAUCCUGCGGGGAGAAAACGCUGUGGCUUCCGAGGAAACGGACCUGCAGCGGCGGAGCGCACCAUGCAGGAGGAGCGGGGGGUGGAGCAGGACCGGUGCAGCUACGCUCCGACCUUCUCUGAUAAAUUAUCACCGCAAAUGCCGCUUGGAAUGAAAACUUUAACCAAUAACGCACCUUGACAAAUCAAAUCUACAUUUCUGAAUUAAAUAAUUUUUGAUGUUAUUGCUUUAGAGAAAGAGUGGCGCUCCCCCGUCGGGAGUCUGUUUUUCGCUCCUGCCGUGUUGACUAAUAUCAGUGCGCCUGAAUACACAGGUGAAAUGCUCAGCAGCCUGCAAUGUGGAAUCAAGUGACCCGAAGAGCAUGGGAUACGCAAUCACAGUGGUUUUUAGAGCCAAAGUGUGAAUGUGGAGGAUCAAAAGUGAAACAGUUUAAAAAUAAACAAGUUGUCAAAUAAAUGUAACUGCAAUACAAGCCUGAAAUAAAAAAUAAAUACAUAAAUAAGAUACUUGUAUUACCAGCGACGUUUCAAUUAAAACCUUAUAAUUAUUUCAGCGAACUGAUUGAUAC
This is a long non-coding RNA of Poecilia latipinna (sailfin molly), 717 nucleotides long. RefSeq lists it as uncharacterized. NCBI's taxonomy places the organism in Eukaryota, Metazoa, Chordata, Actinopteri, Cyprinodontiformes, Poeciliidae. The transcript has 2 exons. The record is from RefSeq and is a predicted model, not a curated record.